Molecule: ribosomal RNA, 865 nt
Filed under: uncultured bacterium
Lineage: Bacteria
Description: SSU rRNA
Rfam family: Bacterial small subunit ribosomal RNA
Source: RNAcentral
UACAGAGGUGGCGAGCGUUGUUCGGAUUUACUGGGCGUAAAGGGUGCGUAGGUGGCCGCGCAUGUCGGAUGUGAAAGCCCACUGCUUAACGGUGGAAUGUCAUUCGAAACUGCGUGGCUAGAGUACAGGAUGGGAGAGCGGAAUUCUUGGUGUAGCGGUGAAAUGUGUUGAUAUCAAGAAGAACACCGGUGGCGAAGGCGGCUCUCUGGAAUGAUACUGACACUGAGGCACGAAAGCUGGGGGAGCAAACAGGAUUAGAUACCCUGGUAGUCCCAGCCGUAAACGGUGUGCACCUGGUGUGGGAGGAGUUGACCCCUCCCGUGCCGGAGCUAACGCGUUAAGUGCACCGCCUGGGGAGUACGGCCGCAAGGCUAAAACUCAAAGAAAUUGACGGGGGCCCGCACAAGCGGAGGAGCAUGUGGCUCAAUUCGAUGCAACGCGAAGAACCUUACCAGGACUUGACAUGCAGCUGCAUAUCCGUUGAAAGGUGGAUAGCCUUCGAGGGUGCUGCACAGGUGCUGCAUGGCUGUCGUCAGUUCGUGCCGUGAGGUGUUGGGUUAAGUCCCGCAACGAACGCAACCCUUGUGUUUAGUUGCCACUACAGGUGAUGAGCCUGUGAGCACUCUAGACAGACUGCCCGUACAAGCGGGAGGAAGGUGGGGACGACGUCAAGUCAGUAUGGCCCUUACGUCCUGGGCUGCACACGUGCUACAAUGGCCGGUACAGAAGGAAGCUAAGUCGCAAGGCGGCGCAAAUCCUGAAAACCGGCCUCAGUUCGGAUUGAAGUCUGCAACUCGACUUCAUGAAGUUGGAUUCGCUAGUAACGGCGCAUCAGCUACGGCGCCGUGAAUACGUUCCCGGGCCU